GACGAACGCUGGCGGCGUGCUUAACACAUGCAAGUCGAACGGAAAGGCCCUGCUUUUGUGGGGUGCUCGAGUGGCGAACGGGUGAGUAACACGUGAGUAACCUGCCCUUGACUUUGGGAUAACUUCAGGAAACUGGGGCUAAUACCGGAUAGGAGCUCCUGCUGCAUGGUGGGGGUUGGAAAGUUUCGGCGGUUGGGGAUGGACUCGCGGCUUAUCAGCUUGUUGGUGGGGUAGUGGCUUACCAAGGCUUUGACGGGUAGCCGGCCUGAGGGGGUGACCGGAGUGAUGGGGACGGGGGUAGGGCGCAGAGGCGAAUGGGGGGCAGGGGGGGGAAGGAUUACGGAGGGGGGGGAAGUGUGGGGGGGCGGGUCGGCGUCCGUGAUGACGUGUUAGGGGGGGUAAACCGAUGUGGCAUGAAACGAAGACAGAGUGACGGUAAUGGGUAAGGAAGCGACGGCGGACUAGGUG
Molecule: ribosomal RNA, 468 nt
Filed under: uncultured bacterium
Lineage: Bacteria
Description: partial 16S ribosomal RNA
Rfam family: Bacterial small subunit ribosomal RNA (bases 20-329)
Source: RNAcentral